CAGUAGCCGCGGUAAUACGGAGGGGGCUAGCGUUGUUCGGAAUUACUGGGCGUAAAGCGCACGUAGGCGGCUUGGUAAGUUAGAGGUGAAAGCCUGGAGCUCAACUCCAGAAUUGCCUUUAAGACUGCCGAGCUAGCAGGUGAGAGAGGUAAGUGGAAUUCCGAGUGUAGAGGUGAAAUUCGUAGAUAUUCGGAAGAACACCAGUGGCGAAGGCGGCUUACUGGCUCAUACUGGACGCUGAGGUGCGAAAGCGUGGGGAGCAAACAGGAUUAGAUACCCGAGUAGUCCCUGUCUCUUAUAC
RNAcentral lists this ribosomal RNA (301 nucleotides) under uncultured bacterium. RNAcentral describes it as "partial 16S ribosomal RNA". It matches the Rfam family "Bacterial small subunit ribosomal RNA", at positions 509 to 807 of the family's 1533-position model. The record is from RNAcentral.